GGUAAGAUGGCUGACAAAAGCGGCAGGUUGUAGCCCUGUGCAUGUGGGUUUGGCCCCACUCUUAUCA
RNAcentral lists this transfer RNA (67 nucleotides) under Ateuchosaurus chinensis (Chinese short-limbed skink). Its description in RNAcentral is "tRNA-Tyr". Lineage: Eukaryota; Metazoa; Chordata; Lepidosauria; Squamata; Scincidae. The record is from RNAcentral.